RNAcentral lists this ribosomal RNA (490 nucleotides) under uncultured bacterium. Its description in RNAcentral is "partial 16S ribosomal RNA". It matches the Rfam family "Bacterial small subunit ribosomal RNA", at positions 30 to 507 of the family's 1533-position model. The record is from RNAcentral.
AUUGAACGCUGGCGGCAGGCCUAACACAUGCAAGUCGAACGGUAACAGGAAACAGCUUGCUGUUUCGCUGACGAGUGGCGGACGGGUGAGUAAUGUCUGGGAAACUGCCUGAUGGAGGGGGAUAACUACUGGAAACGGUAGCUAAUACCGCAUAACGUCGCAAGACCAAAGAGGGGGACCCUCGGGCCUCUUGCCAUCGGAUGUGCCCAGAUGGGAUUAGCUUGUUGGUGGGGUAACGGCUCACCAAGGCGACGAUCCCUAGCUGGUCUGAGAGGAUGACAAGCCACACUGGAACUGAGACACGGUCCAGACUCCUACGGGAGGCAGCAGUGGGGAAUAUUGCACAAUGGGCGCAAGCCUGAUGCAGCCAUGCCGCGUGUAUGAAGAAGGCCUUCGGGUUGUAAAGUACUUUCAGCGGGGAGGAAGGGAGUAAAGUUAAUACCUUUGCUCAUUGACGUUACCCGCAGAAGAAGCACCGGCUAACUCCGUG